AUUGAACGCUGGCGGCAUGCUUUACACAUGCAAGUCGAACGGCAGCGCGGGCUUCGGCCUGGCGGCGAGUGGCGAACGGGUGAGUAAUACAUCGGAACGUGCCCAGUAGUGGGGGAUAGCUCGGCGAAAGCCGGAUUAAUACCGCAUACGACCUGAGGGUGAGAGCGGGGGAUCUUCGGACCUCGCGCUAUUGGAGCGGCCGAUGGCAGAUUAGCUAGUUGGUGGGGUAAAGGCCUACCAAGGCGACGAUCUGUAGCUGGUCUGAGAGGACGACCAGCCACACUGGGACUGAGACACGGCCCAGACUCCGACGGGAGGCAGCAGUGGGGAAUUUUGGACAAUGGGCGAAGGCCUGAUCCAGCAAUGCCGCGUGUGUGAUGAAGGCCUUCGGGUUGUAAAGCACUUUUGGCGGGAACGAAAAGGACUGUGCCAAUACCACGGUUCGAUGACGGUACCCGCAGAAUAAGCAACGGCUAACUACGUG
Molecule: ribosomal RNA, 484 nt
Filed under: uncultured bacterium
Lineage: Bacteria
Description: partial 16S ribosomal RNA
Rfam family: Bacterial small subunit ribosomal RNA
Source: RNAcentral